RNAcentral lists this ribosomal RNA (676 nucleotides) under Newbya spinosa. Its description in RNAcentral is "LSU rRNA". It matches the Rfam family "Eukaryotic large subunit ribosomal RNA", at positions 51 to 631 of the family's 3401-position model. Lineage: Eukaryota; Oomycota; Saprolegniomycetes; Saprolegniales; Saprolegniaceae. The record is from RNAcentral.
CGGAGGAAAAGAAACUAACAAGGAUUCCCCCAGUAACGGCGAGUGAAGCGGAAGAGCUCAAGCUUAAAAUCUCCAUGUUUACAUGGCGAAUUGUAGUCUAUUGAGGCUGUUGUCAGCAUAGCGAUCUGGGAAAAGUCCCUUGGAAAAGGGCAGCAUAGAGGGUGAUACUCCCGUCUUUGCUCAGAUUGUCUGUGUGUACGAUACGCUUUCUUUGAGUCGAGUUGUUUGGGAAUACAGCUCAAAGUAGGUGGUAAAUUCCAUCUAAAGCUAAAUAUUGGUGCGAGACCGAUAGCGAACAAGUACCGUGAGGGAAAGAUGAAAAGAACUUUGAAAAGAGAGUUAAAGAGUACCUGAACUGUUGAAAGGGAACCGUAUCGUUUCCAGUGUUGUAUCCUAUGCAUAUUUCAUUGGCGGAGUAAUUUGCUGGUGCCCUGUGCAUGGGUGUGACGUCAGAGUCAGUUUGUAUGCUGCGGGAGAUGGUUAGUGAGGAGGUGCGUCACUUCGGUGAAAGUUAUACCUUGCUAUCUAGUUGCCGUGGUUGAGACUGAGGUGCCUACAACAUGCCCUGGGGUUCAGUGCUGCCUCGUUUUGGUGACUGCUUGGAUAGCUUGCUAUGUCUGUGGUUAAUCAGGGCGAUUGGUGGUGCUGAAAACCUCUGCUGUUCGGGACUCUGGCG